This 368-nucleotide ribosomal RNA is filed under the name uncultured organism. Its description in RNAcentral is "bacterial SSU rRNA". It matches the Rfam family "Bacterial small subunit ribosomal RNA", at positions 526 to 896 of the family's 1533-position model. The record is from RNAcentral.
CGGAGGGUGCAAGCGUUAUCCGGAAUCAUUGGGUUUAAAGGGUCCGCAGGCGGUCUUAUAAGUCAGUGGUGAAAGCCUACAGCUUAACUGUAGAACUGCCAUUGAUACUGUAAGACUUGAAUUCGGUCGAAGUGGGCGGAAUGUGACAUGUAGCGGUGAAAUGCUUAGAUAUGUCACAGAACACCGAUAGCGAAGGCAGCUCACUAGGCCUGGAUUGACGCUCAUGGACGAAAGCGUGGGGAGCAAACAGGAUUAGAUACCCUGGUAGUCCACGCCGUAAACUAUGAUUACUCGUUUUCGGCGAUAUACAGUCGGAGACUAAGCGAAAGCGAUAAGUAAUCCACCUGGGGAGUACGAUCGCAAGGUUG